CCCAAAAAAAAAAAACCUAAAUAUAUGUGGAUUUCUUAACAAUGAAAUAGACUUCCAGAAAAUAUUGGUAUAGUUCCUCAGCUGGAUACUGCUGCCAAUCACCCAUUUAUUCACCUCACAGUAUACCGGUGUGACGCCGCAAUAUGGCAACCGAGAUUGGUGGGGUCAUGCCAGCUAUGUGGUGAUAUAUCGGAAGAUCUCCAUCGUUUUUCUUGUCAGUUUAUGCCGAC
RNAcentral lists this long non-coding RNA (230 nucleotides) under Elaeis guineensis (African oil palm). Its description in RNAcentral is "long non-coding RNA (EGUI_LNC023302)". The record is from RNAcentral. Lineage: Eukaryota; Viridiplantae; Streptophyta; Magnoliopsida; Arecales; Arecaceae.